UUGUUUACCUGCUCAAGCCUCAGCAGU
RNAcentral lists this non-coding RNA (27 nucleotides) under Homo sapiens (human). Lineage: Eukaryota; Metazoa; Chordata; Mammalia; Primates; Hominidae. The record is from RNAcentral.